RNAcentral lists this ribosomal RNA (601 nucleotides) under uncultured bacterium. Its description in RNAcentral is "bacterial SSU rRNA". It matches the Rfam family "Bacterial small subunit ribosomal RNA", at positions 153 to 749 of the family's 1533-position model. The record is from RNAcentral.
GAAACGCAAGCUAAUACCGCAUACGCCCUAUGGGGGAAAGCGGGGGAUCUUCGGACCUCGCGCUAUCGGAUGAGCCUGCGUAGGAUUAGCUAGUUGGUGAGGUAAAGGCUCACCAAGGCGACGAUCCUUAGCUGGUCUGAGAGGAUGAUCAGCCACACUGGAACUGAGACACGGUCCAGACUCCUACGGGAGGCAGCAGUGGGGAAUAUUGCGCAAUGGGGGCAACCCUGACGCAGCCAUGCCGCGUGUGUGAAGAAGGCCUUAGGGUUGUAAAGCACUUUCAAUUGGGAGGAAAGGUUGUACGUUAAUAGCGUGCAGCUGUGACGUUACCUUUAGAAGAAGCACCGGCUAACUCCGUGCCAGCAGCCGCGGUAAUACGGAGGGUGCGAGCGUUAAUCGGAAUUACUGGGCGUAAAGCGCGCGUAGGCGGUUUGUUAAGUCGGAUGUGAAAGCCCCGGGCUCAACCUGGGAACUGCAUUCGAUACUGGCCGACUAGAGUACGAGAGAGGGAGGUAGAAUUCCACGUGUAGCGGUGAAAUGCGUAGAUAUGUGGAGGAAUACCGGUGGCGAAGGCGGCCUCCUGGCUCGAUACUGACGCUGA